GGGCAAGUCGCCAGCAAAACCACGUCUCCUCGCCUCCUCACUCUUUCGAGGCGGCAGAUCGCACCGGUGAACCGCCGGGGACAGGCGCACCUCCUCUCGGCGCGAAGGCAAGGAAUUUCGUGAUUGAUGCCUUGAUUUCGAGAAAAGUUUUCUCGGCAAUGAUGUCAAGCCAUGAGGAGUCGAAAAUGGAUUUUACCGAGGCGUCAUUACUGUUGGAAACGAAUAUUUUGGCAAUGUAACUCGAUGUAUUGAUCGGUGCAUAGCGCACGUAUAUAUGGAGUACAAGGUGGGCCACAACCUCAA
Long non-coding RNA from Triticum aestivum (bread wheat), 303 nucleotides. RefSeq lists it as uncharacterized. The transcript is spliced from 2 exons. Lineage: Eukaryota; Viridiplantae; Streptophyta; Magnoliopsida; Poales; Poaceae. The record is from RefSeq and is a predicted model, not a curated record.